Molecule: ribosomal RNA, 438 nt
Filed under: Triticum aestivum (bread wheat)
Lineage: Eukaryota; Viridiplantae; Streptophyta; Magnoliopsida; Poales; Poaceae
Description: partial small subunit ribosomal RNA
Source: RNAcentral
AUGACGAGAGUGAAGAAUAGUUACUAUGUACUUCCAGGAGAACCUGAACCGAAGCGCACCGUGUCAAACACUCACAGCAUUGGGAAGGUAAUGUUCCUAACAGCUGUUGCCAGGCCUCGAUAUAACAAUGAGGGGGAGCUAACAUUCGAUGGGAAGAUCGGCAUUUGGGCAUUCGUCGAAGAGACUGAGGCGAAGCGGACAAGUCAGAACAGAACAAAGGGAACAAAAGUGUUGACAUCAGUGAAAGUAACCAGGCCUGUGUGCAGAGAUUAUCUAAUCAAUAAGGUUAUCCCGGCAAUUCAGGAUAAGUGGCCUGACGAUGAUGAGGGAGCAACAAUAUUCAUCCAACGGGAUAACGCAAAGCCUCAUGUCCUUCCCAAUGAUGUAGCUUUUCGAGAAGCUGUGGAACAAACUAAAAGAAAGUCGGGUAGUUGUUGA